UCGAGAAUGAGCGUCACUAGCAGAGAACGUCAGUCAAGUCUACGCUAUGGUGGAUCGAUGGAUCGAUCAAUAAGAAUAAAAUGGCAGGAGUAUGCAGCAGGUGGUACCAGUUACUCGUGGUUACGGUCCUGAUCCAGUCCAGGCUGCCGGGAGGCCUUUCAACUCGAUUCGUGUAUACCCUGUACACAGUAUCCGACAAGGUGUGGUUCUAGACGCGUCGAACGACGCGCGUUUACAAUUCACCGUGGGACAUUAAUUAAUUAUCCUGCGUGUUAAUUCAAAAACUUAACGACGAUAUUUUUCGAUUUCAAUACGAUAUAUAUAAAUCGAUAAUCGAAGUAUUAUCGAGAAUUAAAAUAAAAUGGAAAUAUCGUUGUAGAGAGUUACAAAAAAAAGACGUUUACGUAUGUAAGAAUAGACAUUCUGUUUUUUUUUUUUUAAUCUGAGGAGGGAAGAAGAAGAA
Molecule: long non-coding RNA, 463 nt
Filed under: Polistes fuscatus (common paper wasp)
Lineage: Eukaryota; Metazoa; Arthropoda; Insecta; Hymenoptera; Vespidae
Description: uncharacterized LOC122514497
Source: RNAcentral